Molecule: ribosomal RNA, 561 nt
Filed under: uncultured bacterium
Lineage: Bacteria
Description: bacterial SSU rRNA
Rfam family: Bacterial small subunit ribosomal RNA
Source: RNAcentral
CCUACGGGAGGCAGCAGUGGGGAAUCUUGGACAAUGGGCGCAAGCCUGAUCCAGCCAUGCCGCGUGGAUGAUGAAGGCCUUAGGGUUGUAAAAUCCUUUCACCGGGGACGAUAAUGACGGUACCCGGAGAAGAAGCCCCGGCUAACUUCGUGCCAGCAGCCGCGGUAAUACGAAGGGGGCUAGCGUUGCUCGGAAUUACUGGGCGUAAAGCGCGCGUAGGCGGAUUGAUUAGUCAGAGGUGAAAGCCCAGGGCUCAACCCCUGGAACUGCCUUUGAUACUGUCAGUCUGGAGCAAGGUAGAGGCGAGUGGAAUUCCGAGUGUAGAGGUGAAAUUCGUAGAUAUUCGGAGGAACACCAGUGGCGAAGGCGACUCGCUGGACCUUUGCUGACGCUGAGGCGCGAAAGCGUGGGGAGCAAACAGGAUUAGAUACCCUGGUAGUCCACGCCGUAAACUAUGAGGGCUAGUUGUUUGCCGGCAUGCCGGUAAGUGACGCAGCUAACGCAUUAAGCCCUCCGCCUGGGGAGUACGGUCGCAAGAUUAAAACUCAAAGGAAUUGACGG